UAAAUCAAUCCUAACAGCUAUUUUUAUUGCUCUCAGAAAAAAUCAAACACAGAGUGGAUCUAAGCAGCAUUUUGCUAUAAAAUGAAGGGCUAUAAAUAUUAAAAUAAAUACCACAAAAUAUUUUGUCUGAAGCUCUACCAGCCAAGUGCCCCACCCAUCAUCUACCAGUACGAGGGGAAUAUUAUUAAAUGUGAAGGUAUUCUGCUAAUAUUGUUUUAUCUCAGGAUGGUCAUUUUUUUCCAUCAUUGGACUGUGGCCAUGCUGGGGCAUCACCUUCA
This is a long non-coding RNA of Octopus sinensis (East Asian common octopus), 278 nucleotides long. RefSeq lists it as uncharacterized. Lineage: Eukaryota; Metazoa; Mollusca; Cephalopoda; Octopoda; Octopodidae. The transcript is spliced from 3 exons. The record is from RefSeq and is a predicted model, not a curated record.